GUGGCGCUCUCUGCACUGCGACUGGUUGCAUACUUUGUGCUAUGAAGAAGUCUGACACCAGAGAUGUUUUAAAGAGACGGCAGGCUUCUGUUGUGGCUCGCCACAGGCAAGAGCAGCACCUGAAGAAGAACUUGAAAGUAUCACCCAAGAAAGAUGUGAUGACUAAGACCAACAGCCGAUCAAGGCAGCGUAAUGUUGGUCAUGGGCCAAGAACCUUCAGCUGGGAUCCUGACAAUUUCUGCUCAGAUAGUGACAGUUCUAUAGUGAACAAUGUUGACAAGCCAGUGACCACACUGGCAUCUGUUGUUGACCUCACUGGCAACGUCAGCCCAGCUCAGAGUAGUGAGCGUGUUGUGUUACUGUCGUCUGGUGAGGAGGACGAGGUCCAUCGUUUGGAGUUGGAGAAGUUAAGACAGAGCUCACUUGCUCCUGGUCCAGUUAGAAAAAUAUCCUUACCCCUGAAGUCAAUGGCUGAAGACACUUUGCAAAUGCUCAAAGACUCACCAGGACAACAGCUGAUUUCUUGCAAUCCUUCUAAAUCCCUCACUGAGAGCCAUGAGUGUUUUGACAGUCAGCUGGACACCACCACUUCUGAAGACUCUGUGAGGUCAGGUCCCAGUUCCCCUUACACUCCUCUUACUUCACCCAGAUGCACUGAAUGUGACAAGCUUUUUACCAAAAUGAGGAGACUAGGAUCUCCAAGAACCAAAAAAAGGGACAAAGAUCCAUCCUCUCUGUCAUGUGAUGAAUGGUUGCUCAAAAAAGCAUGGCACCCACAGAGACGACGGCACGUGAAAGGAAAGCUAUGGGUGCACUUAAAGCGGAUUAGGAUGCUUGCUGUGAAGCAUUUGGCUGCUGAAACGACAAAUGCAUCGCCGCUGUGCUCUAGACCUCACGUCUUUCUGCAAAGGAAUUUGCAUCGCUGCAGGAAAAUGUCCAGCAUGCUUGAGAAUCAGUCUGAGAGAAAAGUCAAGUCACGUCCCCGCAGACUUAAAGCCACAAAUGCAUGGCCUCCACUCAAUGCAAAAUAUCAAAGGCAAAAAAAGAGGAAAUCCUCAGAGAAGGACAGUACAUCACAGCAUCUUUCAUCCCUGGACUUCACCAUUGUCACCAAAACCAUGGACAAACGGCCUGCAAAGGAUGAUGCUCAACAUACUGGUUCACAGCGGCAGAACAAGGUUCUAAAGAAGCAAAACUUUAGUGACAUGCGUAAUGUACUGGAUGAACAGACAGGUUGUUAUAGCCUAGAGGGAACCCGCAGGGUGCUGAAAUUUGAUGACUCUAUCUGUACAUUUCAGAGAAAAAAUUCAGAUUUCACAGGAAAGGAUUGUUCUGGGGCAGAAAAAGUUCUUUGUGAAGACCUGGAAGAUUUUAGAACCCCCCCAGACAUCUGCAUUGUGGAGUCUAAGAUUGUCAGGAAAAGUCAUCUGUCAUUCUUUUCCUCUGGCCAUUCGCCUCAUAGGGCACAGAAGGGCAGCUUUAGGUCCAUGUUAGCUGCCUUUGAGAAAAGUCACAACAGGAUUAUUAAAGAAUUCCAUAACUGAGGGUUUUGCAUUGGCUGUCUUACAUUGUGUUGUCCUUGUUCGGAGUUAUUUGUUGAGUUACUCUGUCCUGUCAUGGAGCUAAAAAAGAUACAAAUGGAUGACUGAUUCCUGUAUGGUCUUUGAAAUUUUUCAAAACUUUGGAAACCAAAGUAUGAUGUGAGAAAGCAUAGCAAGAUUUGUUGUUUGUAUGUUUAAGUUUUGAAAAUGUUAAGAACAUCCAUUUGUCAUUGCCAUUAUUUUGUAAGACCAGUAUAACAGGAUGAUACAUUAGUUUGGCAUGGUUUUUGCAUGUUCAGUAGAUGGAAACCUUUGUUUUUGUAUUUCCAAAUGGCUGACACAAAAGCUACAAUGUUUCUGGUGUUGCUGAAACUUUAGGUCACUGUCUAUUUUCACUGACACACUAUACAUGAAUAGAAUAAAUACAAAUAAACUAUGUACAGCACAAAGUAGCAAGUAACAUUGUUGUAUUAGUAUUUUGAUUUAACAAUGUCAUUGUCAGACAGUUUUGCUAAUUUCUAUUUAUGUGAUUUUUUUUUUUUUAUAUUUUAUUUUAACAAUGCUUAUUGCCCAGAGAAUGGCACUUUUUCCCCUGAGAUGUCUUAGUGACUUUUGCACAUUACUGCACAUAACAUAAAUAGUAUGUACAUGUUUUACAGCUCAUUUAGAGCUUCUGGUGGCUUUAUGGUCUGUUUCUUUAUGAAAGCCUACAGUUUGUUGCUCUUAACGAAUAAAUGCUGCUGAAGUUGACGAUGAGCGUGGCUUUCACACGGUUUCGCAGUAUCGACCACACGGGGGCGCAAGUGGCACAUAAACCAUAAAAGUACCGUAGAGUAAGUGGGCUGGCUGUUUUGUAGAUUGGGACCAAACGAGUAUAGUUUAAUUAAAAUGUUCGUAUAACUGCUGAUAAGGAAUAGAGGUAAGAGGUAAAGGUCCGCACUCAGCCAAAUAAUUUACAGG
Molecule: long non-coding RNA, 2501 nt
Organism: Pygocentrus nattereri (red-bellied piranha)
Lineage: Eukaryota; Metazoa; Chordata; Actinopteri; Characiformes; Serrasalmidae
Source: Ensembl